CACAGACAGGAGAAGUUGUAUUCGGAGUUAAUAAAACAUGGCAGAAGCAGAAAGGAAAAGGCGUCAGAAAGAGAGCCAAGAUAGCUGCCAGCCUUCAUCUGGGAGAAGCACUCUGGGAGAAGCACUCCCAGAUGAGGGGUUCAUUGCAAAAUGUUCAAGAGGUCAAAACGGAAUCCAACUCAUACAAUCAAAAGAAGGACAUCUGUCAGCUUCCUCCCACUCUACCAAAUAGACAACCAUGGAAACCGCAGCCACACUGCCUGAUCAGUGGCCUGAAGGUUCAGUCACACAGCAUCUAACACUUCUUCUGAAGUCCUAUAAAGAUUCCUCUAAACUGAAGGCUCAUGAAAGUUCAUGUGGGUUUCUGCUAAUAUGGGAUUUGUGACCUUUCCAUUACAGCAUGCUACGUUUGAAUAUCAGGCCAAUUGCUCUGCAGUAACAUGCCAGCAUCUGUGAUAGCUAGGCAUGCUGUCAUUUUGAGUAAUGAUUGGUAAUUUUCCUUUUUUUUUUUUUUUUUUAAAUGCAAGUGUUACUUUUUACAUUUGAAAUCUUUCCAGAAAUUCUAAUGAUACACAAUGUUGUAUACUGUAUUACAUUAUGCUUUCUCUGCUAUUGUUUUCCACCCUGAUUUACGAAAUUGCUGUCAAGCUGAUCUCAGACCUAUAAGCAUCGACAGUUGGAACACCAUCUCAGACAAAGCUGUAUUAUUAAAUCAGUGACAUGACUUCAAGGUUGGUUUCCUGUAGAGUUUGGUUCAACUCAUAGUUCAGCAUGAGUG
This is a long non-coding RNA of Siniperca chuatsi (mandarin fish), 778 nucleotides long. RefSeq lists it as uncharacterized. NCBI's taxonomy places the organism in Eukaryota, Metazoa, Chordata, Actinopteri, Centrarchiformes, Sinipercidae. The transcript has 3 exons. The record is from RefSeq and is a predicted model, not a curated record.